RNAcentral lists this ribosomal RNA (849 nucleotides) under uncultured low G+C Gram-positive bacterium. Its description in RNAcentral is "bacterial SSU rRNA". It matches the Rfam family "Bacterial small subunit ribosomal RNA", at positions 528 to 1377 of the family's 1533-position model. The record is from RNAcentral. Lineage: Bacteria; Bacillati; Bacillota.
UAGGAGGCGAGCGUUGUCCGGAUUUACUGGGUGUAAAGGGCGUGCAGGCGGGGAUUGUAAGUCAUAUGUGAAAUUCCCCGGCUCAACUCUGAAAGUGCAUCUGAAACUGAUAUUCUUGAGUGCUGGAGAGGAAAGCGGAAUUCCUAGUGUAGCGGUGAAAUGCGUAGAUAUUAGGAAGAACACCAGUGGCGAAGGCGACUUUCUGGACCGGAACUGACGCUGAGACGCGAAAGCGUGGGGAGCAAACGGGAUUAGAUACCCUGGUAGUCCACGCUGUAAACGAUGGAUACUAGGUGUAGGAGGUAUCGACCUGCUUCUGUGCCGGAGUUAAGCUAUAUAUAUCCCACGUGGACUACACGCGCGCGAGGCUGACUCUCGGAGGAGUUGACGGGCCCCCGCACAAGCAGUGCAGUGAUGUGUUAUUAUUUCGAAUACACGCGAACAAUCUUAUGAGGUUGUUGACAUCCCUCGGAUAACAUAGAGAUAUGAUAGACCUUCGGGACGAGUAAACAGGGGUGGCAGGGUUGCCGCCACUCUCGGCCGAGAUAUUUGGGUUAAGUCCCGAAACGAGCGCAACCUCUAUUGUUAGUUGACAUCAUUAAGUUGACUGCUCUAACAACACUGCCGGAGACUGAUCAGACGAACGUGUCGACGAGGUCUAAUCAUCAUGCCCCUUAUGUCCUGUGCUAGACACGUACUACUGUGGCCACUACAAGGGGAAGCAAUACCGUCCGGAGGAGCAGAUCUCACAAGGUGACCUCAGUUCAGAUUGUGCGGUGAGACCCGCCCACAUGAAGUCGGAAUUGCUAGUAAUGGCAGGUCAGAAUACUGUCGUGAAUACUGUCCCGG